RNAcentral lists this transfer RNA (64 nucleotides) under Pycnoscelus femapterus. Its description in RNAcentral is "tRNA-Thr". The record is from RNAcentral. Lineage: Eukaryota; Metazoa; Arthropoda; Insecta; Blattodea; Blaberidae.
GUUUUAAUAAUUUAAUAAAAAUAUUGGUCUUGUAAACCAAACUUAAGGUUAGCCUUUUAAAGCU